Long non-coding RNA from Syngnathoides biaculeatus (alligator pipefish), 729 nucleotides. RefSeq lists it as uncharacterized. The transcript is spliced from 3 exons. Lineage: Eukaryota; Metazoa; Chordata; Actinopteri; Syngnathiformes; Syngnathidae. The record is from RefSeq and is a predicted model, not a curated record.
CUGAUGCUGCGUAAAUUCAUCCAGAAUGAUUUCCAGCCUGAAUUGGGCCGGGACUGUGUGUUUUGUGUCUGUGUGUCGAAAGCAACUACCUGAUGCACCCACCCACCUCCUUUUUUCGGGUUGCCAAUGAACUGAUGGCUUUACCAUGUUGCUCUAAAGGCAUUCAACACACACCCGUUUGCGUACGUGGACGUGCACACGAGGUGCACCCAAGACCGUGGAAAGAAUGUGAGCCACUUUGAUCCAAACACGCACACGGGAACACAAAAACGUUGGCGCGAGUGAGCCAAACUUCUUUUUUAUUUUAUUUAUUUAUAAAGCUCUGACUUCCCCCAAGGGAGCUGCUGGAAUGGAGGAAGCGAGAAGACGGCAGGAAAUCAAAUGAAGCGGCUACACAAGCGCAGAGGUGAAAUACGCGCGUCCAGGGAUUGUCGUUUAUUCAAUAAACAGAGGCGGAAGCUAUGGGCACGAGCUGUGAGGUCGUUACCAAGAGAACAAGAUCCCGGAUACAAGCGACCAAAAUGAGUUUCCUCCGCAGGGUGUCCGGACUCUGCCUUAGAGGAAGAUAGAAAUUUCAGUGGUUAACAGCCUUUCAACCUGUUCCGAAGACCCAGACGGCAGCUAAAAAAUAUGAAAUCAUCUCUUUUGCCAAAGGAAACAUAAGUACUAAUCAUGAAUUAACUUCCUGUAAAUUUAAUUAAAUUUGAUUAAUUAAAUUAAACUAAUUAA